AUUGAACGCUGGCGGCAUGCCUUACACAUGCAAGUCGAACGGCAGCACGGACUUCGGUCUGGUGGCGAGUGGCGAACGGGUGCGUAAUAUAUCGGAACAUACCUUGUAGUGGGGGAUAACUAUCCGAAAGGAUAGCUAAUACCGCAUACGCUCUAAGGAGGAAAGUGGGGGAUCUUAGGACCUCAUGCUAUAAGAGUGGCCGAUAUCUGAUUAGCUAGUUGGUUAGGUAAAGGCUCACCAAGGCGACGAUCAGUAGCUGGUCUGAGAGGACGAUCAGCCACACGGGAAGUGAGACACGGUCCAGACUCCUACGGGAGACAGCAGUGGGGAAUUAUGGACAAUGGGGGCAACCCUGAUUCAGAAAUGCCGCGUGAGUGAAGAAGGCCUUCGGGUUGUAAAGCUCUUUUGUCAGGGAAGAAACGGUUGUGGCUAAUAUCCAUGGCUAAUGACGGUACCUGAAGAAUAAGCACCGGCUAACUACGUGCCAGCCGCCGCCGUAA
Molecule: ribosomal RNA, 500 nt
Filed under: uncultured bacterium
Lineage: Bacteria
Description: partial 16S ribosomal RNA
Rfam family: Bacterial small subunit ribosomal RNA
Source: RNAcentral